Molecule: Y RNA, 98 nt
Organism: Callithrix jacchus (white-tufted-ear marmoset)
Lineage: Eukaryota; Metazoa; Chordata; Mammalia; Primates; Cebidae
Rfam family: Y RNA
About the family: Y RNAs are components of the Ro ribonucleoprotein particle (Ro RNP), in association with Ro60 and La proteins. The Y RNAs and Ro60 and La proteins are well conserved, but the function of the Ro RNP is not known.
Source: Ensembl
GGCUGGUCCGAGUGCAGUGCUGUUUACAAGUUGAUCACAACCAGUUACAGAUUUCUUUGUUCCUUCCCCGCUCCACGGCUGCACUUGGUUAGCCUUUA